UGGCACUCGGCGUGCCGGCGAUGCUCGCCGUCCUGCCGAGGUGGCGGGCGGUCGCGCUGGCCGGGGUGGCCGCGAUCGUCGCCGGGCCUGCCGC
Molecule: transfer RNA, 94 nt
Filed under: Amycolatopsis acidiphila
Lineage: Bacteria; Bacillati; Actinomycetota; Actinomycetes; Pseudonocardiales; Pseudonocardiaceae
Description: tRNA-Gly
Source: RNAcentral